UUGUCAAUCACUUAGCAAAAACAUAGGUUUAAAAUUACAAGGGAAUUUAAAAUUACAAAAUAGUCUUUCAAGAAAUUAAAUUACAACUAAACCAAAAUUAAGUUUAACAUGUUUCGGGUGGGUGUAUGGGUUUCGGGUGUGGGUUUGAGUGAUACCAAACCCACACCCAUAUUUUCGGGUGUCACCCAAACCCAGUCAAUUCGGGUUUCGCCCGUUGACUUGGGUUUGGGUUCGGGUGGGUCUCACGGGUUUGGGUUUUUCUGCCAUCCC
Molecule: long non-coding RNA, 270 nt
Filed under: Trifolium pratense (red clover)
Lineage: Eukaryota; Viridiplantae; Streptophyta; Magnoliopsida; Fabales; Fabaceae
Description: long non-coding RNA (TPRA_LNC007874)
Source: RNAcentral